GGGGGGAGAGGUCCUGCAAUGCUCAUAUGUGCCCCCGCAGCCCUGUUAGGAACAAAAGGAGAACCUCAUCCUAACUUGAGCUGAAACCGAUUACAUCAGAAAUAGGAGAAGAACCUCGUCCUAACACCAACUAAAGUCUGAUCAUUCAAGACCAGAUAAGAAAAAGAGAACCUUCUCGAUGGCCCCUCCGCACUCCCGCGACCCCAC
RNAcentral lists this long non-coding RNA (207 nucleotides) under Elaeis guineensis (African oil palm). RNAcentral describes it as "long non-coding RNA (EGUI_LNC070256)". Lineage: Eukaryota; Viridiplantae; Streptophyta; Magnoliopsida; Arecales; Arecaceae. The record is from RNAcentral.